UGGGGAAUAUUGGACAAUGGGGGAAACCCUGAUCCAGCCAUGCCGCGUGCGUGAAGAAGGCCUUAGGGUUGUAAAUCCCUUUCGGCGGGGAAGAUGAUGACGGUACCCGCAGAAGAAGCUCCGGCUAACUCCGUGCCAGCAGCCGCGGUAAUACGGAGGGAGCUAGCGUUGUUCGGAAUUACUGGGCGUAAAGGGCGCGUAGGCGGCCGAUCCAGUCAGACGUGAAAGCCCCGGGCUCAACCUGGGAAUUGCGCUUGAUACUGGUUGGCUGGAGUCCGGGAGAGGGUAGUGGAAUUCCCAGUGUAGAGGUGAAAUUCGUAGAUAUUGGGAAGAACACCGGUGGCGAAGGCGGCUACCUGGCCCGGUACUGACGCUGAGGCGCGAAAGCGUGGGGAGCAAACAGGAUUAGAUACCCUGGUAGUCCACGCCGUAAACGAUGUGUGCUAGACGUUGGGGGGCUUAGCCCUUCAGUGUCGCCGCUAACGCAUUAAGCACACCGCCUGGGGAGUACGGCCGCAAGGUUA
Molecule: ribosomal RNA, 524 nt
Filed under: uncultured bacterium
Lineage: Bacteria
Description: bacterial SSU rRNA
Rfam family: Bacterial small subunit ribosomal RNA
Source: RNAcentral